RNAcentral lists this small RNA (251 nucleotides) under Notechis scutatus (mainland tiger snake). RNAcentral's name for it is "7SK RNA (ENSNSUG00000010859.1)". The stretch from base 1 to 172 matches the Rfam family "7SK RNA". Rfam says of the family: 7SK was discovered as an abundant small nuclear RNA in the mid-70s but a possible function has only recently been suggested. Two independent studies have found that 7SK RNA binds the CDK9/cyclin T complex (known as elongation factor P-TEFb). The record is from RNAcentral. Lineage: Eukaryota; Metazoa; Chordata; Lepidosauria; Squamata; Elapidae.
GGGUGUGAGGGCCAUCUGGCUGCAACAUCUGCCACCCUAUCGAUUGCCAGGGUUGAUCUGGCUGGCUAGGCAAGUAUCCCGUUCCUUUAUCACAACUCCAUGUGUGUUCCUCCCAAAGCUGCACAUUCAGUGGAAGAGGACCAUCCCAGAUAGAAAACCAUCCAUAGUAAACAAUGGAUUUGCUUAACCACCAUGAUGUUCACUUAACCACCACAAACUCACACUUUAUGACCAUCAUGAUUUAUGAUUGU